Long non-coding RNA from Epinephelus moara (kelp grouper), 1907 nucleotides. RefSeq lists it as uncharacterized. NCBI's taxonomy places the organism in Eukaryota, Metazoa, Chordata, Actinopteri, Perciformes, Serranidae. The transcript is spliced from 3 exons. The record is from RefSeq and is a predicted model, not a curated record.
UAAUGUGUCAGGUUCUAGUGUUUCCGGUUAUUUUGUGUCCAGUUCGGUUCUAUUGUGUCAGGUUCGGUUCUAAUGUGUCAGGUUCUAGCGUGUCUGUUUUGGUUGUAAUGUGUCAGGUUCUAGUGUUUCCGGUUAUUUUGUGUCCAGUUCGGUUCUAUUGUGUCAGGUUCGGUUCUAAUGUGUCAGGUUCUAUUGUGUCAGGUUCGGUUCUAAUGUGUCAGGUUCUAGCGUGUCUGUUUUGGUUGUAAUGUGUCAGGUUCUAGUGUUUCCGGUUAUUUUGUGUCCAGUUCGGUUCUAUUGUGUCAGGUUCGGUUCUAAUGUGUCAGGUUCUAUUGUGUCAGGUUCGGUUCUAAUGUGUCAGGUUCUAGCGUGUUUGGUUUGGUUCUAAUGUGUCAGGUUCUAGUGUUUCCGGUUAUUUUGUAUCCAGUUCGGUUCUAUUGUCAGGUUUGGUUCUAAUGUGUCAGGUUCUAGCGUGUCUGUUUUGGUUCUAAUGUGUCAGGUUCUAGUGUUUCCGGUUAUUUUGUGUCCAGUUCGGUUCUAUUGUGUCAGGUUCGGUUCUAAUGUGUCAGGUUCUAGCGUGUCUGGCUAACACAGCCAUGCUGCAGAGGCUAACGCAGUUAGCCAUGCUGCAGCUGUCUCAGACUGAGCAGUUACAGGCAGACUUCAGAGAAUUUUCUCUCAGUAAAUGUUGGACUGUCCUCUGUCUGUCUCUCAGCUAACAGGUCUUUAGCCUGAAGUCAUUGAUGACUACGACUCGUGGUCUGUAGUUUUAUCGAUCAAUACUGUUUGUGUGUAUUUAAAGAGUUGUUCCUGCAGUGAGGAUCCACCAGCUGCUCUGUCUCACUCAUGAUGAUGGUGAUGAUGAUGAUGAUGGUGUCUCCCACAGUCACUCUGCUGCUCUCUGAUACGAACCAUGAAGAGAGGUCGUCUUCGUCCUGUCACAUUUAUCUCUCCAUACAAAUGCAGAUGUUCACACUCAGAGUCCAUGUGUGGUGAACAGUGUCAGUAUAUUUAUUCUCUGACCUGCAGCUCGUCAUGGAAACGUUCUGAAUGAACGCUUUGCUAACCUUCCUGUAACUGAAUGCAGCAGCAGGUUAACAGAGUUCCUGACGUCAGUUAACUACAGAUCAGACACACUGAACCUGUACGUCUCCUCUUCAUCAUGUGAUGAAGCUUCACUGCUGGAUCCAGAGCAGUUAAACUGAGGGUGUGUUCAGAAACACUUACUCUGAGUGCAUGAGCGCAGUCUGCCACAAACUGCACCGUUGAGUUAAUCAGAACACUCCACAGCAGAGCGUGCUCUGGACUCUGUGUGAGGAGGCGGAGCAGCAGAGCGCCGAGCGGAGUGAAUGUGUGAUUUACUUAAUCAUUAAUUCAUUCAUGUAGAAACAGAACGCUCCUCAUUUUAGUUUGCAGCGUCAGACUGGCUUUCAUUUUAAGACCAAGAUAAGGAGAAAGCAAUAAAUACUGAAGUGAAUGUUCAAUGGAAACUUUAAGAUUUAAGGGUGUUUUGUGCAACAUUUUAUUUUAAAACUCAGACUUUAAGGAAAAUCAUAACUUUGUGUAACUGGCUGCAGAGAUUUACUGUUCUCAAAUAUGAAAAGUAAUUUUAUCAUAUUAAAUGUAAUAAAGUAUUACAGUAAAAGUAAAGUAAGUGUUUUUGAUAAAAUUAAGUGGUCAGAAUUUUGAGGAUUAUGAAGAUUAUUUCUUCUGAAUGUCCAUUAAAUGGAGCCUAAAUUACACUUAGAGAAAACAGGUCUGCUUCAUAAUUUAAAGGAUUUAAAGAACAAAAUCCAGCUUUUCCUUCCUCCCCUCCUUCCUCUCCUCCUCCCUUCCUUCCCUCCUUCCUCUCCUCCUCCCUUCCUUCCUCCCCUCCCCCCUUCCUUGUUCUCCUCCCCUCCUCCCUU